RNAcentral lists this ribosomal RNA (512 nucleotides) under Salegentibacter sp. RNAcentral describes it as "bacterial SSU rRNA". It matches the Rfam family "Bacterial small subunit ribosomal RNA", at positions 395 to 903 of the family's 1533-position model. The record is from RNAcentral. Lineage: Bacteria; Pseudomonadati; Bacteroidota; Flavobacteriia; Flavobacteriales; Flavobacteriaceae.
UGCCGCGUGCAGGAAGACUGCCCUAUGGGUUGUAAACUGCUUUUACAGAGGAAGAACCACCCCCACGUGUGGGGGUUUGACGGUACUCUGCGAAUAAGGAUCGGCUAACUCCGUGCCAGCAGCCGCGGUAAUACGGAGGAUCCAAGCGUUAUCCGGAAUCAUUGGGUUUAAAGGGUCCGUAGGCGGGCAGUUAAGUCAGUGGUGAAAGUCUUCCGCUCAACGGGAGAACUGCCAUUGAUACUGAUUGUCUUGAGUUAUUAUGAAGUGGUUAGAAUGAGUAGUGUAGCGGUGAAAUGCAUAGAUAUUACUCAGAAUACCGAUUGCGAAGGCAGAUCACUAAUAAUAUACUGACGCUGAUGGACGAAAGCGUAGGUAGCGAACAGGAUUAGAUACCCUGGUAGUCUACGCCGUAAACGAUGGUUACUAGCUGUUCGGCCCAAUUGAGGGCUGAGUGGUUAAGCGAAAGUGAUAAGUAACCCACCUGGGGAGUACGUUCGCAAGAAUGAAACUCA